Molecule: ribosomal RNA, 487 nt
Filed under: uncultured bacterium
Lineage: Bacteria
Description: partial 16S ribosomal RNA
Rfam family: Bacterial small subunit ribosomal RNA
Source: RNAcentral
GACGAACGCUGGCGGCGUGCUUAACACAUGCAAGUCGAACGGGCUCUGUCUGGCUGUGUGCUGGGUGGGGUUAGUGGCGAACGGGUGAGUAAUACGUGAGUAACCUGCCCUCUUCUUUGGGAUAAGCCUUGGAAACGGGGUCUAAUACUGGAUAUUCCUGUCUGGUCGCAUGGCUGGGUGGGGAAAGUUUUUUUCGGUGGGGGAUGGGCUCGCGGCCUAUCAGCUUGUGGGUGGGGUGAUGGCCUACCAAGGCGUCGACGGGUAGCCGGCCUGAGAGGGGGACCGGCCACACUGGGACUGAGAUACGGCCCAGGCUGCUACGGGGGGCAGCAGUGGGGGAGAUUGCACGAUGGACGCAAGCCUAAUGCAGCGACGCGGCGUGAGGAAUGACGGCUUUCGGGUUGUAAACCUCUUUCGUCGGGGGACAAGGCUCUGCUUGGUGGUGGGGUUGAGGGUACCCGGUGAAGAAGCGCCGGCUAACUACGUG